UACGAAGGGUGCAAGCGUUAAUCGGAAUUACUGGGCGUAAAGGGUGCGUAGGCGGUUGUUUAAGUCUGUCGUGAAAUCCCCGGGCUCAACCUGGGAAUGGCAAUGGAUACUGGCAGGCUAGAGUGCGGUAGAGGGUAGUGGAAUUCCCGGUGUAGCGGUGAAAUGCGUAGAGAUCGGGAGGAACACCGGUGGCGAAGGCGGUUCUCUGGGCCUGUACUGACGCUGAGGAGCGAAAGCGUGGGGAGCAAACAGG
Molecule: ribosomal RNA, 253 nt
Filed under: uncultured bacterium
Lineage: Bacteria
Description: partial 16S ribosomal RNA
Rfam family: Bacterial small subunit ribosomal RNA
Source: RNAcentral